RNAcentral lists this unclassified non-coding RNA (270 nucleotides) under uncultured fungus. RNAcentral describes it as "partial contains small subunit ribosomal RNA, internal transcribed spacer 1, and 5.8S ribosomal RNA". The stretch from base 1 to 73 matches the Rfam family "Eukaryotic small subunit ribosomal RNA", at positions 1759 to 1831 of the family's 1831-position model. The record is from RNAcentral. Lineage: Eukaryota; Fungi.
UCAAACUUGGUCAUUUAGAGGAAGUAAAAGUCGUAACAAGGUCUCCGUAGGUGAACCUGCGGAGGGAUCAUUAACGAGUUAGGGCCCACGGGCCCGACCUCCAACCCUCAUGUCUCCAACCUAGUUGCCUCGGGGGAGGCCCUGCCCCCGUGGCGGGUCCCCCGGAGGGCCAUUCCAACCCUGCAUCUGUAGUGUCUGAGUGGAUUUCAAAUGAAAAUCAAAACUUUCAACAACGGAUCUCUUGGUUCUGGCAUCGAUGAAGAACGCAGC